RNAcentral lists this ribosomal RNA (285 nucleotides) under uncultured bacterium. Its description in RNAcentral is "partial 16S ribosomal RNA". It matches the Rfam family "Bacterial small subunit ribosomal RNA", at positions 403 to 705 of the family's 1533-position model. The record is from RNAcentral.
GAGCGAAGAAGUAUUUCGGUAUGUAAAGCUCUAUCAGCAGGGAAGAAAAUGACGGUACCUGACUAAGAAGCACCGGCUAAAUACGUGCCAGCAGCCGCGGUAAUACGUAUGGUGCAAGCGUUAUCCGGAUUUACUGGGUGUAAAGGGAGCGCAGGCGGUACGGCAAGUCUGAUGUGAAAUCCCGGGGCUCAACCCCGGUACUGCAUUGGAAACUGUCGGACUAGAGUGUCGGAGGGGUAAGUGGAAUUCCUAGUGUAGCGGUGAAAUGCGUAGAUAUUAGGAGGA